Molecule: long non-coding RNA, 2227 nt
Organism: Eriocheir sinensis (Chinese mitten crab)
Lineage: Eukaryota; Metazoa; Arthropoda; Malacostraca; Decapoda; Varunidae
Exons: 3
Source: RefSeq, a predicted model, not a curated record
GGAAGGUAAGAGGAGGAUGAAAGAAAGAGGGGACUGAGAAGGGAGUAUGGAAAGUCUUAGUAAUGACACUUUCCGUACAACAAAGUGAGGUCAUUCCUUGUUGAUUUAUACCAUAAGGGGCUGGCUAUCAUGUGUUGGAAGAUACCCUAAACUUAACCUAACAAAACCCCAAACAAUCACUAUAGGCCUUGACUCGGAAAACUCGUGUAUGCUUUCUUACUAAUGAGACUCUCCAUACAACAAAGUGAGGUCAUUCCUUGUUGAUUUAUGCUGUAAGGUGCUGGCUAUCAUGUAUUGAAAGAUACCCUAAACUUAACCUAACCUAACCUAACAAAACCCAAAACAAUCACUAUAGGUCUUGACUCAGAAAACUCAUAUAUCCUUCCUUACUAAUGAGACUUUCCAUACAACAAAGUGAGGUCAUUCUUUGUUGAUUUAUGCCAUAAGGGGCUGGCUAUCAUGUGUUUGAAGAUACCCUAAACUUAACCUAACAUAACCUAACAAAACCCCAAACAGUCACACUUGGCCUUGACUUGGAAAAUUCAUAUAUGCUUCCUUACUAAUGAGACUUUCUAUACAGCAAAGUGAGGUCAUUCCUUGUUGAUUUAUACCAUAAGGGGCUGGCUAUCAUGUGUUGGAAGAUACCCUAAACUUAACCUAACAAAACCCAAAACAAUCACUAUAGGCCUUGACUCAGAAAACUCAUAUAUCCUUCCUUACUAAUGAGACUUUCCAUACAACAAAGUGAGGUCAUUCCUUGUUGAUUUAUGCCAUAAGGUGCUGGCUAUCAUGUGUUUGAAGAUACCCUAAACUUAACCUAACAUAACCUAACAAAAACCCAAACAGUCACUAUAGGCCUUGACUCAGAAAACUCAUAUAUCCUUCCUUACUAAUGAGACUUUCCAUACAACAAAGUGAGGUCAUUCCUUGUUGAUUUAUGCCAUAAGGUGCUGGCUAUCAUGUGUUUGAAGAUACCCUAAACUUAACCUAACAUAACCUAACAAAAACCCAAACAGUCACUAUAGGCCUUGACUCGGAAAAUUCAUAUAUGCUUUCUUACUAAUGAGACUUUCCAUACAACAAAGUGAGGUCAUUCCUUGUUGAUUUAUACCAUAAGGUGCUGGCUAUCAUGUGUUUGAAGAUACCCUAAACUUAACCUAACACAACCAAAACAAACACUAUAGGCUUUGACUCAGAAAAUUCAUAGAAGAAAGGAGAAAAAGAAAAGAAAAGGAAAGAAGAGAGAGAAAGAGAGAAAAGAAGAAAGAUCGAAGAAAGAAAGAGAAGAGGAGCUGAAACUAGCGAGAGGGAGGUCGGAUUACUAAUUUCAUUUGUAAAAUACGAGAUCUUACGUUUUGGUAUAUUGAUAGACCUUGCAAUAGGUACAUGAAUCUAUCACCAUGACAGCCAGUCUUCUCCAGGUCUACUGUAUUACUAAAUGCUGAAGUUAGUAUAGUAUAUUUUCCUUCAUGGCGUACUUUUGAAUAAUUUAGCCUUUAGAAUCACUUGGUAUUGUCCCACUGAACUUUAACCCUGUAGCAGCGACGGGCCGAAUUUGUGGCUUUACUGUGUAGCAGCGACGGGUCAAAUUUGUGGCUUUACCGUGUAGCAGCGAUGGGCCAAAUUUGUGGUUUUACCGUGUAGCAGUGACUGGUCAAAUUUGUGGCUUUACCGUGUAGCAGCGAUGGGCCAAAUUUGUGGCUGUACCAUGUAGCAGCGACGGGCCAAAUUUGUGGCUUUACCGUGUAGCAGCGAUGGGCCAAAUUUGUGGCUUUACCGUGUAGCAGCGACGGGCCAAAUUUGUGGCUUUACCGUGUAGCAGCGACGGGCCAAAUUUGUGGCUUUACCGUGUAGCAGCGACGGGCCAAAUUUGUGGCUUUACCGUGUAGCAGCGACGGGCCAAAUUUGUGCCAUGAUAUAAACCCCCCAAAAUAGAUGACACAUAAACUGAUCACAAAUGCGUUGAAAUAUAUUAUGAAAUGGUUUGUGUGAGUGAUGAUUUUUUUCUCAUUUUUCUCGCUUAGAGGGACCACUAAGAAACGUAAUCCCCGCUGCUACCGGGUUAAAUUGCAAAAGAAAUAAAACAUGUAUUUGGACUAUAUAAAUCCCAGUGUAUGCUUGGAUCUAUGCCUAUGACACUGGUCCGUAGAUUUUUUUUAAUCUCUCGCCUGGUCCAUGGCUUUGUGAAGGUUGGGACGCACAGUUCUAACACCUCCUCCUCCUCCUC